Molecule: ribosomal RNA, 580 nt
Filed under: uncultured Glomus
Lineage: Eukaryota; Fungi; Glomeromycota; Glomeromycetes; Glomerales; Glomeraceae
Description: eukaryotic LSU rRNA
Rfam family: Eukaryotic large subunit ribosomal RNA
Source: RNAcentral
CAUGGAGGGUGAGAAUCCCGUACGACCAUCAUUGCUUGUGUACGAUACGCUUUCAAAGAGUCAAGUUGUUUGGGAUUGCAGCUUAAAAUGGGAGGUAAAUUUCUCCUAAGGCUAAAUAUUGGCGAGAGACCGAUAGCGAACAAGUCCCGUGAGGGAAAGAUAAAAAGCACUUUGAAAAGAGAGUUAAAUAGUACGUGAAAUUGUUGAAAGGGAAACGAUUAAACCCAGUCGUACCGACGGAGAAUCAACUUUUGGAAUGCGAGUUGGGGUAUUCGAGGAGUUUAAAAGCCUUCGUGUGCUCAUGUAUUCGUGUUUCUUGGGUGCACUUCUUCGUUUUUGGUAGGUUAACAUCAAUUUUGGACGUUACAAAAUGACUGGGGGAAUGUAGCUUCGAUUUUUCGAAGUGUUAUAGCCCUUGGUAGAUGUGGCGACCGGGAUUGAGGAUUGCAACGAAUGCUUUCGGGCUAUCCUUCUGACCUCUGGUGGUUGCUUUGGGGUCGAAAGCGUGCUUACGACUUCUAAGUUGGCUAUCAAAAGGCUAGAAUGUGAUUAAAAUUCGUUAAGGAUGUUGACGUAAUGG